CCUCCCAAGUAGCUGGGACUAUAGGUGCCCGCCACCACACCUGGCUAAUUUUUUGUAUUUUUAGUAGAGACAGGGGUUUCACCAUCUUGGCCAGGCUGGUCUUGAACUCCUGACCUCAUGAUCCGCCCGCCUUGGCCUCCCAAAGUGCUGGGAUUACAGAGGUGAGCCACCGUGCCCGGCCCAUCUUAUUUAAUCUUUAAAACUUCAGAAUAAGUUAGCCGGUAUUGCCCCAUUUUCUAGAAGAAAAUACUGAGGUUUAUUAGACAUGACUUACUGAAGAUCACACAGCUAAUAAAUAGCAGAGGGGGAACUAGCUCACGGUGCUUUUACUCUAGUUUUACCUCCACAAAAUUUAGCAAAAAGAGAUUGGGUUGCAUUUGUCACUCUGGGCACUUUAAAGUCCAAAAAUACAAUAAAGAGACUCUAGAUUUGGUUAUCUUCUUUCUCAUAAGUAAGUUUUUAAAUUGAAAGUUUUAACUAAUGAAUCCUUCCAACUCUGCUGGGAGAAAGUGCUAUAAUACCUUCUUUUUUACAUGCUCUUACUGUUUUAGGGACUUAAAAUUGGGACCUUAUGUAGAUCAUUACUAUAGAGACUACCCAACGCUUGUCAGAACUACUGGACAAGUGUGCACAAUUGAUCCAGGUCAAACAGGAUUUAUGCAUCAUCCAUCAUUUUUUACUUCUGAGCCACCAAGUAUUUAUCAGUGGGUGAGUUCUUGUCUGAAGGGUGAAGGAAUGCCACCUUAUCCUUACCUCCCUGGAAUCUGUGAAAGAAGCAGACUAGUAGUGUUGGUAUGUAUGUGGAGUGUUACUACCUAUCUUCUUUUCCUUUUAAAAUUUAGUUUUAAAAAUUAUACCUAAUGUUAAGUUUUUCUUUCUGCGUAUAUUUCUGUGAAUUUCAGUAUGUGUAUAGAUUCAUGUAAUUACUACAAUUAGGAUAUAGAACAUUUGUAUCACCCUUAAACAUUUCUCUCAUGAUUUUGAGAUAAAUCCAAGUUGUUUCCUAUAUUAGCAGUUCAUUGCAUUCUGUGGCUGAUUAGUAGUUUAUUGCAUGGAUGUGCCAUAGUUGGUUUUUCAUUCAAGAUAAUUGGGUUGAUCACCGAAGCGGGAGCAGCCAAGAUGAAGUUCAGUCCCUUUGUGACUUCUGGCUAAUGCAAGAAUCGCAAAAGGCAUUUCAAUGCACCUUCCCACAUUCGCAGGAAGAUUAUGUCCUCCCCUCUUUCCAAAGAGCUGAGACAGAAGUACAACGUGCAGUCCAUGCCCAUCCGAAAGGAUGUUGAAGUUCAGGUUGUACGAGGACACUAUAAAGGUCAGCCGAUUGGCAAAGCAGUCCAGGUUUGCAGGAAGAAAUAUGUAAUGUACAUUGAACGGGUGCAGCAGGAAAAGGCUAAAGGCACAACUGCCCACGUAGGCAUUCACCCCAGCAAGGUGGUUACCACUAGGCUAAAACUGGACAAAGACCGCAAAAAGAUCCUUGAACAGAAAGCCAAAUCUUGCCAAGUAGGAAAGGAAAAGGGUAAAUACCAGGAAGAAACAAUUGAGAAGAUGCAGGAAUAAAGUAAUCUUAUAUACGAGCUUUGAUUAAAACUUGAAAC
This is a long non-coding RNA of Aotus nancymaae (Ma's night monkey), 1595 nucleotides long. NCBI's taxonomy places the organism in Eukaryota, Metazoa, Chordata, Mammalia, Primates, Aotidae. The record is from Ensembl.